UACGGAGGGAGCUAGCGUUGUUCGGAAUUACUGGGCGUAAAGCGCGCGUAGGCGGCUGUUCAAGUCAGAGGUGAAAGCCCGGGGCUCAACCCCGGAACUGCCUUUGAGACUAGAUAGCUAGAAUCAUGGAGAGGUCAGUGGAAUUCCGAGUGUAGAGGUGAAAUUCGUAGAUAUUCGGAAGAACACCAGUGGCGAAGGCGACUGACUGGACAUGUAUUGACGCUGAGGUGCGAAAGCGUGGGGAGCAAAC
Molecule: ribosomal RNA, 250 nt
Filed under: uncultured Sphingomonadaceae bacterium
Lineage: Bacteria; Pseudomonadati; Pseudomonadota; Alphaproteobacteria; Sphingomonadales; Sphingomonadaceae
Description: partial 16S ribosomal RNA
Rfam family: Bacterial small subunit ribosomal RNA
Source: RNAcentral